UAGGGACCCGAGACCUCACUGUCUGCUCCAGGUAACAUCUCUGCUGAUGCUGUCGGCGGACUUAACCCUGCAGACAGCCAUGAGGUCUCACAGCUUAAUG
Molecule: regulatory RNA element, 100 nt
Organism: Methanohalobium evestigatum Z-7303
Lineage: Archaea; Methanobacteriati; Methanobacteriota; Methanomicrobia; Methanosarcinales; Methanosarcinaceae
Rfam family: Pyrrolysine insertion sequence 1
Source: Rfam